AGCAGCCGCGGUAAUUCCAGCUCCAAUAGCGUAUAUUAAAGUUGUUGCAGUUAAAAAGCUCGUAGUUGAAUUUCGGGGUUAGCAGGUCGGUCGUGCCAUUGGUAUGAACUGGUCUCGCUGAUCCCUCCCUCUUGACGAACUGUGAUGCCAUUAAUUUGGUGUCGCAGGGAAUCAGGACCGUUACUUUGAAAAAUUAGAGUGUUUAAAGCAGGCUCACGCUUGAAUACAUUAGCAUGGAAUAAUGAAAUAGGACGUUUGAUCCUAUUUUGUUGGCUUCUAGGAUUGACGUAAUGAUUAAUAGGGAUAGUUGGGGGCAUUAGUAUUCAAUUGUCAGAGGUGAAAUUCUUGGAUUUAUUGAAGACUAACUACUGCGAAAGCAUUUGCCAAGGAUGUUUUCAUUAAUCAAGAACGAAAGUUAGGGGAUCGAAGACGAUCAGAUACCGUCGUAGUCUUAACCAUAAACUAUGCCGACUAGGGAUCGGAUGAUGUUAAUUUUUAAUGACUCAUUCC
This 510-nucleotide unclassified non-coding RNA is filed under the name uncultured Glomus. RNAcentral's name for it is "SSU rRNA". It matches the Rfam family "Eukaryotic small subunit ribosomal RNA", at positions 569 to 1082 of the family's 1831-position model. The record is from RNAcentral. Lineage: Eukaryota; Fungi; Glomeromycota; Glomeromycetes; Glomerales; Glomeraceae.